This is a long non-coding RNA of Pygocentrus nattereri (red-bellied piranha), 435 nucleotides long. The record is from Ensembl. NCBI's taxonomy places the organism in Eukaryota, Metazoa, Chordata, Actinopteri, Characiformes, Serrasalmidae.
CCUGAAGACCCAGUCAGCAUUUUAAUUUGGUCAUUAUGCACAAAUUUUUCACAUAGACAACAACAGUGACCUCUGCCAGAAGAGGGAGGAAUUCAUAAAGGGUGUAGACAUCUGGAACCAAACACUCAAGAGGAAGACCAAGCCAAACAGUAGGUGGAUGAAGGACAUGGAAGAUAAGGAUGAAAGGCCAACAAAACAGCAAAAGAGCAAAAAGGCAACCUGUACCCCAAAAGAAGCAUCAGACCAAAUAAUUGAAGGCCUGAAGAAGGAGUUGAUGGCAAAGCAAGCAUCUUUAGAGUCAAAUACUGAAAAGGAGGAGUCAUCAGAUGAGGACCUGCUGCCCAGGAACUGGAGUAAGGCACAGCAGAAAAUAAAGGAGCUUAAAAGAGAGAACAAGAGGCUGAAAGAAGGCAGUAUUAAAGAGAUAUUAGAUGC